AAAACCGGAAGGGUCUUCCCAAAAACCCUGAAAUUCCCCCGGCGGUUUUCACGGUGAAAAAAUGGAAUCGCAAGCCCUGUGCUUGGAGCUCACUCCUCCUAGAUUUCGAUUAUCAUCUCAAAAUUUUGCCUCACAUCCUCCUCGGUUGCAGCAUUUACGCAUUCGUUUGGCAGCCGAGAAGAUCGGAUAGAGUUCUCAUGUAAUCGGCGAUGGAAUUACAACGUUCGCUGUAAAAUGGGUUCUCUUCUUUUUCUGUUAUUCCUUUUUGUUUCAGAAAGCUUUGCCUAUGGGUUUCGGAAUGCGUCGUAUUGUGAGUAAGCUAAGAACGGCAUCCUCAUAGCCAUAGAAAUUGUCGCUUCUAUUUGCUAUGAGUUCGAUGUUUUAUGCCGGUCUUGCUAUGUUUCUGUGUGCAACUGAACCACACUUAGAGUUCAGUUGCGAGAGAUUGGAUCCAAUCAUGGUAUUGCCUUUCCGAUGAUCCGAAUGUGCUCUUUACAUGAACUGGCCAGCUCUAGGAAUAGAUAUGUAUAUGUUGAUGGCAAUGGUUCCUUGAAGUUAUUAAUGUGGCAUACAAUCUAAAAAAUCUUCUGGUUCUUUGUGUAGUGAACGUUUUAUAGGAUUAGGGUUACGCUUUUGGUGAUCGUUGAUUUGGAAUUAGAAAUCGUGUAUUGUAUUGUAUUGUAUAGUUGAAAACUACUGAUUCCUAGCUGUUAUUUAUCUCUGGUCACUCUAUCAUAUCUCUCUUAGACCUCUUCCCUUCCCGGCCCAUAAAACUACUGAUUCCAAGUGUAAUGCUGUACAUGUAGCCCAUUGGAGCUGCUUUCGUGUUUCGGUUUUGCCCGUUUCAGAAUACGAGAUGGAACACCGAAACGAGCUUUAUAGUGUGUAUGCAAUAGGAUGUCUGAUUUAGCAAUUUCUCCCGCAGCAUUUUUGCCUUAUGGAACUUUUGUUUUCUGUAUGUAGAGCUCGGCUUGUGUUGCGGGCUACGGGUUCAACAUGAGAAACGAGAGUGGUGACAUCAUUGGCGAAGUUUUAUCCAAACCCUGGAUAUAUCCUUAAACAUUUUGUGUGUUUCGUUACCAAUGAUCUCUGCGUAAGCGUCUUUGAAUCUCUAAAAAGAUGAAAUAGCUUGCUUGUUAUCUCUUACAAUGUUCUCUAUAUAUUCUUGGUGAAGUUGUGGCUGUGUCUCUAUAUCCGAUGGCAACGACUGAAUCGUGCUUGAUUCUGGUUUAUGCCACCAUUGUUAACUA
Molecule: long non-coding RNA, 1250 nt
Organism: Tarenaya hassleriana
Lineage: Eukaryota; Viridiplantae; Streptophyta; Magnoliopsida; Brassicales; Cleomaceae
Exons: 3
Source: RefSeq, a predicted model, not a curated record